Molecule: ribosomal RNA, 447 nt
Filed under: uncultured bacterium
Lineage: Bacteria
Description: bacterial SSU rRNA
Rfam family: Bacterial small subunit ribosomal RNA
Source: RNAcentral
AUACCAGACUCCUACGGGAGGCAGCAGUGGGGAAUAUUGCACAAUGGGGGAAACCCUGAUGCAGCGACGCCGCGUGAGUGAAGAAGUAAUUCGUUAUGUAAAGCUCUAUCAGCAGGGAAGAAAAUGACGGUACCUGAGUAAGAAGCCCCGACUAACUACGUGCCAGCAGCCGCGGUAAUACGUAGGGGGCAAGCGUUAUCCGGAUUCACUGGGUGUAAAGGGAGCGUAGACGGCGACGCAAGUCUGGAGUGAAAGCCCGGGGCCCAACCCCGGGACUGCUCUGGAAACUGCGGCGCUGGAGUACGGGAGGGGCAGGCGGAAUUCCUGGUGUAGCGGUGAAAUGCGUAGAUAUCAGGAGGAACACCGGCGGCGAAGGCGGCCUGCUGGACCGUGACUGACGUUGAGGCUCGAGAGCGUGGGGAGCAAACAGGAUUAGAUACCCCCGUA